GACGAACGCUGGCGGCGUGCUUAACACAUGCAAGUCGAACGGAAAGGCCCUGCUCUUGUGGGGUGCUCGAGUGGCGAACGGGUGAGUAACACGUGAGUAACCUGCCCCUGACAUUGGGAUAAAUUCAGGAAACAGGGGAUAAUACCGGAUAGGAGCUCCUGCAGCAUGGGGGGGGUUGGAAAGAUUCGGCGGUGGGGGAUGGACUGGCUGGUUAUCAGCUUGUUUGUGGGGUAGGGGCGUACCACGGCUUUGACGGGUAGCCCGCCUGAGAGGGUGGCCGGGCACAUUGGUCCUGCGAGACGGCCCAGUCUCCUACGGGCCGCAGUGGUCGAGAGUCUUGCGGAGUGGCGCCGAGCCUGAUGCGGCGGUCCCGCGUGCGUGAUACUGUCUUUCGGGUUGUGAACCGCUUUCGCCUUUAAUGUACCCUGAUUGACGGUACUUGGUAAGAAAGCACCGGCUAACUACGUG
Molecule: ribosomal RNA, 468 nt
Filed under: uncultured bacterium
Lineage: Bacteria
Description: partial 16S ribosomal RNA
Rfam family: Bacterial small subunit ribosomal RNA
Source: RNAcentral